GACCGGAUUUGAGGGUGCGGUGU
This 23-nucleotide non-coding RNA is filed under the name Arabidopsis thaliana (thale cress). The record is from RNAcentral. Lineage: Eukaryota; Viridiplantae; Streptophyta; Magnoliopsida; Brassicales; Brassicaceae.